Molecule: long non-coding RNA, 905 nt
Filed under: Linum usitatissimum (flax)
Lineage: Eukaryota; Viridiplantae; Streptophyta; Magnoliopsida; Malpighiales; Linaceae
Description: long non-coding RNA (LUSI_LNC003487)
Source: RNAcentral
UGACAUGGUACCAGAGACUUUAAUGACCAAGAGGUCUUGUUUCGAACUCUCUUAACCCACAAUCCGUGCACAUGACUGAUUGAAGCAUUGCAAAUCUGAACUCUUCUCAGAACUGCCGUUUGAUAAGGCUAAGGCGUGUCAAUGAAUAAUAUAAAAUCCAAUCUAAACCAUCUGCCAACAACCCUGAAUUAUUGGGAUGCAACAAUUUAUGAAAUAGAUUAGCUACCAACCAAAAUUGAAAAAAGCUAAACACAACCAAUUCCAAAUCAGAAUAACAAGUAUGCAACUGCACUUGAAGAUCAGCAACACAUCAAAACCGCCAGGAGAAUUUACUCUUCAUGAAACAGCACUCCCAUAACCUUAACAAGAACUAUGAGUUAAGAGCCAUUUAUUUGUAACCCAAUAUUAACAACACUACACACCAUCAAUAACUGUAGACCAGUCCAGCGCAAACAUGCAAUGAGAAUAAGUAAUUUAGAAUAAAAGAGUAAGGUAGUCGGAGCCUCACCGGAAUCCUUCGGAUCGAGCGGAUGGAAAGGGAGAGAUUAGGGUUCCGGAACUACGGUAGGGUAUGUCUUCCGGAUGCCGGCGAAGAGUGAAAAGUGUCAGAUUUCCAAGUGCCUUGAUCCUUGAAGCAGGCCAGUCACGUUGAAGUCAAUUGAAAUUUGACUGGCCUAAAUCUUCGGUUGAAUCUUUAAAUACAGGAUCCGGAUGGUCAGUGGCUCGGCUUAAAUGGGGAUGUGAGAAUUGAGAUUAUCGAACAUUAGGAAGAAAAUCGGAAAUUUAAUUUUGGAAAUUCACUUAUAAGUUUCGCUUCGUAAAGCGGUUAGUAAUUAGGUAUUUGAGCGGAGGUCCUUUGGCAGUAGUAAAAGUUAAACAAUGCACGAUGAAAGUCCUCGACAGUG